Medicago truncatula (barrel medic) is the source of this 1290-nucleotide RNA transcript. RefSeq lists it as uncharacterized. NCBI's taxonomy places the organism in Eukaryota, Viridiplantae, Streptophyta, Magnoliopsida, Fabales, Fabaceae. The record is from RefSeq and is a predicted model, not a curated record. The transcript is spliced from 3 exons.
AACCCCUUCCUUACCUUUAUUAUUCCAUGCCUUCUUCUCACGCCAUAAAGCUCAUAAACCCCACAAUAACACUCUUUCUUCUAAGCCUUCCCAUGCAUAGUGGACCUGUUUAGUCCCAUCAAAAUUUCUCACUUUUUCUUCAUCUCCCAAACACUCCUUUCUAUUCCAUCAUGACCUUACUUUUCUUAGAUACAUUUAUAGAAUUGAAAUUAGUUUCUUCCUUAUCUCUUGAUAAAUUCUUGAACUCUCUAUGUGUUGAAACCAUUUCCUCUAUUUCAAAAUCUUCAAUGUUCUCUUCAAAUCCUCUGUUUUCUUGCAUUGUCACCUUUUGCACCUUGAUUUUCCUAUACUUACCUCAUCAUCUUUUCUCCAAGAUAGUUUUCUCUCCGGUGCUUAUUCUCACCGGGAUUCUCUUGCUCACAAUCCUCCGACUUGGUGCAAAUCAAAAAUAUCAUCAUAAACAAAAGGAAACUCAACAGAAACACGAAUCCAUCAUCACUAAAGAAGAAAACAAAGCAACCAAAUGUGGAGAAGAGAAACAGAAUUCAACAUGUCCAGUUGAACCAAAGGAAAUUGAGUCUCUGGAGCAAGUGCACCAUUCAGAAAGAGAGGUGGAUUCCCAAAAAAGUUUGGAAUCAAGUUCAAGUUUUAUGGAAUGGAACGUGAGAGCACCAUUGGAGAUAAUAUACGAAGGAUAUGAAGAUGAAGAAAAAUUGGAUGAUCCAAAUGAAAAAGAAGAAAACUGGAACAUGGGUAAUUCGAACUAUCCUUCGUUGUCACGUUACUAUCCGGAAUCUGAUUCGGAUAGCUCCUCGGAGGAUGAGUUUCCGGUGAAAGAAUAUUGGGAUUCGCCAGAGGAGUGGGAAGAAGAAGACAGAGAAGGGUUGAUUGAGAUAGCUUUAGAUGGAAGCAAGAUGAUGAAGAGGGAUUUGGAGUUUCAGUACGAAGAAGAGAAUUUGAUUGAGAUUGAUAUUUCUCCGACGAGGUACAAAGAGUUUUCCGUAUGGUGAGUGCUGACUACUUCAAUCUGAUGAUGACUUGUCUCUAUUGGUUACGAGUUUUUAGGAUUAUGAAACCUAGUGACAUAUAUGAAUUUCCAAGUGGAAAGAUAUUUUUGUUAUUGUGGGAUAUAUACAAUUGAAGUUCAUAUUUUCGAUUUGAAUGGUUGUACUCUUCCAAGGAAACAGACAUCACCAUCCCUAGACUUUCAGUUGUUUUCUUGUCUAUUGUUGCAGUAAUUCUAUUGUUCAGUAUAAUGACAUAAAAGAUACUCCUUAGCACUUUUAUUUA